GUGCUCACUUCACUGGCACAUAUACUAAAACUGGGAUGAUACAGAAAAGAUUUGUAUGGCUCCUGCACAAGGAUGACGCUCAAAUUCGUGAAGCAUUUCAUAUUUUU
Molecule: small nuclear RNA, 107 nt
Organism: Cervus hanglu yarkandensis (Yarkand deer)
Lineage: Eukaryota; Metazoa; Chordata; Mammalia; Artiodactyla; Cervidae
Source: Ensembl